AAGAUUAAUUGAUUCGUGACAAAAUAGUGCUGGGAAUUGCAAAUGAGGAUACACGCCGGCGUCUACUGAGAGAGAGACUUAACAUUAGUAACUGCCAUUGAAAUGUGCCGCACUGCUGAAGUCACUGACAUGAGAAUGAGAGCAAUGGAAAUCGAAACCCCACGCUCCGACGUUGAUACCGUUCACGCUGUUGCUAGGCAGACAUUCAGACUAAACCAAUCGAGGCAGAGCAAUUCACCACGAACGGUGAACACAGAGAGCCCCGUAGCAUGUAAAUACUGUGGGAAUACACACACACGUGGCAAAGAGCACUGCCCUGCCUACGGAAAACCAUGCAGAGCUUGUGGAACUAAUAAUCAUUUUGCAAAAGUGUGUCUCAAAAGCAAAAGAAGGGUGAGUGAGGGCAAGAUUCACUGUGUUGAUGAUGUCACUCAAUGUUCAGAGCUGAAAAGUGAAAGUGACAUUUACAUGCAUGAAUCCAUUGGGGCUGUACACUCAAGAGGGAAGAAAUGGUUUGUGACACUACGAUUACACAACAAGCAACAACAAUGUCAACUGGAUUCUGGUGCUACAUGCAACGUAAUGAGCUACAAAGACAAAAUCAAUCUGGCACCUGACACACAUCUAUUGCCCAGCGAUACUAGACUAAAGCUCUACUCAGGAGAGCUAAUGAGCUCUAUGGGCACCUUUGAGACCAAAUGUGUUAUUCGGGGACGCAAACACAAGCUGGGGUUUGAGAUUGUAAAAACCAGUCAACAUCCUCUCCUCUCAGGCUCUACAUGCGAACGCCUGGGACUGAUGCAGUUCACUGUACCAAAUGACCUGCACAUUGUGGAUCAUGUCCAGCAUGGACCCCUGUCCAAACAACAACUACUCAGCAGAUAUGACGAUGUAUUCAACAUGCCCGUUGAAUCAGUGCCUGGGGAGGUACACUUUGAAGUGGAUGAGAGCAUCACUCCAGUCCAGUGUGCUCCUCGCAAUGUGCCCAUUGCAAUGAAAGUGGCUGUGAAGGCCCAGCUGGACAAGUAUGAGGCCGAUGGCCACAUGACAUCUGUGACUGAACCAACUGACUGGAU
This 1076-nucleotide long non-coding RNA is filed under the name Oncorhynchus kisutch (coho salmon). RNAcentral describes it as "lncRNA (ENSOKIG00005030965.1)". Lineage: Eukaryota; Metazoa; Chordata; Actinopteri; Salmoniformes; Salmonidae. The record is from RNAcentral.